Molecule: ribosomal RNA, 478 nt
Filed under: uncultured bacterium
Lineage: Bacteria
Description: bacterial SSU rRNA
Rfam family: Bacterial small subunit ribosomal RNA
Source: RNAcentral
AUGAACGCUAGCGGCAGGCUUAACACAUGCAAGUCGAGGGGCAGCACGUCUUCGGAUGGUGGCGACCGGCGCACGGGUGCGUAACGCGUAUACAAUCUACCUUUUACAGAGAGAUACCCCAGAGAAAUUUGGAAUAAUACCUCAUAAUAUUAUUGCUCGGCAUCGAGUGACAAUUAAAGUUUCGGCGGUAAAAGAUGAGUAUGCGUCCUAUUAGCUAGUUGGUAAGGUAACGGCUUACCAAGGCGACGAUAGGUAGGGGUCCUGAGAGGGAGAUCCCCCACACUGGUACUGAGACACGGACCAGACUCCUACGGGAGGCAGCAGUGAGGAAUAUUGGUCAAUGGGCGAAAGCCUGAACCAGCCAUGCCGCGUGCAGGAAGACUGCCCUAUGGGUUGUAAACUGCUUUUAUACAGGAAGAAACACUCGGACGUGUCCGAGCUUGACGGUACUGUAUGAAUAAGCACCGGCUAACUCCGU